CACCUGCUAGGCCUAGGCUGGAGCCCUCUGCCUCUGCUCACGAGGACCAGCAGCUGUGUCCUUACAGGUCCUUAGGGAGCCACAGAACAGCCCCACCCUGGUCCACCCCAUCCCAGGCUCAGCUUUCUAGGCAAGGGUCAGAGUCAGGGCCUAGGGUGGGACUUGGCCAGCCCAGGGGAGGAGGCUGGUGUGCAUGAAGAGACCCUCCUUCAUCCUGGGCUGCUGGCGAAAGUAAUAGGGACUGGGGGAGCUCAAGCCCAGCUGAGUGUCAUCAGGAUGCAGAGCUGUGUGUGGGUCCC
Molecule: non-coding RNA, 299 nt
Organism: Homo sapiens (human)
Lineage: Eukaryota; Metazoa; Chordata; Mammalia; Primates; Hominidae
Source: the annotation of a RefSeq genome assembly